Mustela erminea (ermine) is the source of this 2901-nucleotide long non-coding RNA. RefSeq lists it as uncharacterized. The record is from RefSeq and is a predicted model, not a curated record. Lineage: Eukaryota; Metazoa; Chordata; Mammalia; Carnivora; Mustelidae. The transcript has 3 exons.
CCUGCUUCUCCCUCUGCCUGCUGCUCUUCCUGCUCAUUCUCUCUGUCAAAUAAAUAAAUAAAACCACGGGAAAGGACUGGGGAGUACGUCAUUCCUGCCUGCCUUAAUCUAAUGUCUGAACGGCACAAAAACAGUCGUGCGAUUCUUGCCAGCUGCAUGCUGGAGGCUGUGCCAGUUCCCUAGAUGCCUAGAUCUGUGGAGCAGACCUCACCGUGCCCCUCACUGCACCCCAGGUUCCUGGGUCACCGAGUUCCUCAUUUUCUAUCCCCAGGUGACCGAGUUCAGGUGGAGAUGACACCAGUGCUCUGAAGCACAAAACAGGAUAGCUUUGAUGAACAAUUAUUUCAAGAGGCUCCCUAUUCUCCAGUUUCCUCUGUUUUCAGCCCAGUGUAGGGGUGGGUGGGGGACAGGGUUUGACUAAGAAGGAGGGGAAAGUGGGUUUGGCUGACUGUGGGCCAAACCAGCUGGAGUAUCUGUCUGAACCUACCUGGAAAGGCAGUGGGUCCUGGGAGGUGUUUGGGAUGUGGGCUCCUAGCCUGGAGGCAUGUGACUGGCCUCACUCAGGCUGAUCAUUUAUCAAGCACCUACCAUGUACAGGCACUGGGAAUGCAAAUAUGCCUUCGACCAGGCUCCUUUUUAGAAGAGCUAAUGGUCCCAAGGGGAAGAAAGGCAUGAAAACAGCUUUAGUAGCAUUUAGUACCAUGAAGCCUGUGUGCCCAGGGUGCUGUGGACGAGAGCCACCUGGGGGUAUAGGGUGUCCUGUCCGGAGCAGGGGCCUCUCUAAGCUGAGCUUGCCAGGUGCAGAAAGGUGUAAAGGGAAUUCUAGGGAAGGUCUGGAUAAAUCCGUUUUGCAGAUUAUUGAGUAUCUACUAUGUGCCAGGUGCUGAAAAGCCCACAGAAGCAUGGGAGGGCACAAUGUCUAAGGCAGCAAGCAAUUUAAUCUCUGUAGAUAAUUGCAUUCUGGGAAGUGAGCGGAGAUGCGGAGUAGUAAGCUGGUAAUAAAAAUAUUUUAAUUUGUCUUGAUUGUUCUAUUUAUUGACUGCACAUUAUUGGGUUGUGUACAACCAUCUUACCUACAUCUUGUUUUGUUUUUUCAUUUUAGCCUCAAAACAGCCAUCUGAGGUAUGGACUGCUUUAUUAAAGGGGUUGAAACAUUCGGAGAAGUUGACUAACUUGUCCAAGAUCACACAGCACAUAAGUGGUAGAGCCAGAAUUUGAACACUGAACACCGAAGACCCGGUGCUCCCAAGCCACAUGAAGAACUUUUGAUUUCUUUUCAAAGGGGAGAGAGAACCAGAGCAAGGAAUUUGGGGGCACCAGUUCGUAGAGCAUGUGACUCUUCAUCUCCAGGCCGUGAGUUGAAGCCCCACUUUGGGCGUGGAGCCUACUUAAAAUAGAUAAGUAAAUACUUUCCUAAAUGUUCAGGAAUUCUAUGAGCUGUUUAUUAAAUAACCAUUAAAAAAACUGAACUAUAUAAACCCACAAUUGAAUACGUUAUAAUAAAAACAAAGGUCAUAAAUACUCAAAACCUAAUCAUUUCCUAAUUAUUUCACUACAUUACUAUUAUCUGUGCCCUUGAGGUUAUUUACAUCUAUGAAUGGUGCAAAUAAUAGUAUCAUUAGUAAUGGUAUCGCAUAGUCAUAGUGUUUAUUAUAUAACAUAAUGGCAAAUAGCAUAUAAUGCUACCAAGCAUCUCUUCCCAAUGCCAUAUUCUGGGACAUCGCAUUGGUGGCCUGAAAUUGCUCAAAGUGGGGACUGUUUACAUCAUGGCAAUUGGCAGACACUACAAAUCAUGGUUGUUCCCCAGCAGCAGCCCCAGAGAACUAGUUGUUUUGUGUUUAUUUACCAUAUAUCAUUGACUAAGGGCAUUCUGAGGCUCCAGAUGUGACUGUGGGAGUCUUGACAAACACCUUCCAGCUGUGUCAAAGGUCUGGCCUUCCUUCUGCCUAAGGGGAUAGUCUGUUUAUCACUGGACCAAUUAGCCAAGGAAUUUAGAGCAUUGGAUUCAAUCUUUUUUGUUUCUAAUCUAUUGCCAGGUGCCACCGAUGGGCAGGAUAAGGAACAUGAGAAGAUUCAGUCUUGACUUCUGGAGACAUAGGGGGGCUCCAUUGAUUUCUUCUGAAAACAUGGCCAGACAGGGUCUCAGCCUUGCCCUGCUGGCCCUUCCAGAGCCCUCCUUCAGUCAGAAGAGAAGGACUGGGUUGAGGAUCUGACCCUGGCCCAGCUGGCGCCAGGCAACUGGCGUUGGAGCCUCUCUCUAGGCUAACGGGCAAGGGUCAGUUUUUCCCCGGGGGCGUCUUGGGACAUCUUUCACUUGCAAACUGGCCAGUAGCCAAGGUCUGGAUGCUGGUUUCAAGGUUUGGAGAAGUCUGGGAGCCAUUUUCUAGUGAGGCAUUUACAGACAUCCUGGGGUUGUAGCGUGGGGAGCAGGGCAGAGCCAGAUGCUGCAGAUCCCUCUCCUGGCAGUGUUUACUCCAGGACAGCUCGAGGGAAAGGAGACCUGCUGGUCUUUGGAGACCAAGACAGAGGGAAAUGUAGUGGUGGGUUGAGUCUGUGGAUUACACCCCCACCCCGCCCCCGCCCAACCCCAGUCCAAACCUUCCAGGUACGGGCAGGGAUGCCUGUUUGGAUCCAACAAGAUCUUUUGCUCCAUUUUCAAAAUAUAGACAAUCCCACCAUUUCUCACCAUCUCCACUGCAAUGGCCAAGGGGGCUGAGCCACCAUGACCUCGCUCUCCUGGACCAGCACAACCACCUCCGCCCUUCCCCAGCUCUCAUCCCUCUCACACCAGUCUCCACUCAGCAACUAGGGUGGUCUUGAAAAUACAAACCAGGGGUGCCUGGGUAGCUCAGUUGGUUGAACAUUUGACUCUCGGUUUGGACUCAGGUCCUGAUCUCAGGG